AGAGUUUGAUCCUGGCUCAGAUUGAACGCUGGCGGCAGGCCUAACACAUGCAAGUCGAGCGGAAACGAUGGAGCUUGCUCCAGGCGUCGAGCGGCGGACGGGUGAGUAAUGCAUAGGAAUCUGCCCGGUAGUGGGGGAUAACCUGGGGAAACCCAGGCUAAUACCGCAUACGUCCUACGGGAGAAAGCAGGGGAUCUUCGGACCUUGCGCUAUCGGAUGAGCCUAUGUCGGAUUAGCUUGUUGGUGAGGUAAUAGCUCACCAAGGCGACGAUCCGUAGCUGGUCUGAGAGGAUGAUCAGCCACAUCGGGACUGAGACACGGCCCGAACUCCUACGGGAGGCAGCAGUGGGGAAUAUUGGACAAUGGGCGAAAGCCUGAUCCAGCCAUGCCGCGUGUGUGAAGAAGGCUUUCGGGUUGUAAAGCACUUUCAGUGAGGAAGAAGGCCUUGGGGCUAAUACCCCCGAGGAAGGACAUCACUCACAGAAGAAGCACCGGCUAACUCCGUGCCAGCAGCCGCGGUAAUACGGAGGGUGCGAGCGUUAAUCGGAAUUACUGGGCGUAAAGCGCGCGUAGGCGGCGUGAUAAGCCGGUUGUGAAAGCCCCGGGCUCAACCUGNGAACGGCAUCCGGAACUGUCAGGCUAGAGUGCA
Molecule: ribosomal RNA, 649 nt
Filed under: uncultured bacterium
Lineage: Bacteria
Description: bacterial SSU rRNA
Rfam family: Bacterial small subunit ribosomal RNA
Source: RNAcentral